GACGAACGCUGGCGGCGUGCCUAAUACAUGCAAGUAGAACGCACAGUUUAUACCGUAGCUUGCUACACCAUAGACUGUGAGUUGCGAACGGGUGAGUAACGCGUAGGUAACCUGCCUGGUAGCGGGGGAUAACUAUUGGAAACGAUAGCUAAUACCGCAUAAUAUUGAUUAUUGCAUGAUAAUUGAUUGAAAGAUGCUAUUGCAUCACUACCAGAUGGACCUGCGUUGUAUUAGCUAGUAGGUGAGGUAACGGCUCACCUAGGCGACGAUACAUAGCCGACCUGAGAGGGUGAUCGGCCACACUGGGACUGAGACACGGCCCAGACUCCUACGGGAGGCAGCAGUAGGGAAUCUUCGGCAAUGGACGAAAGUCUGACCGGGCAACGCCGCGUGAGUGAAGAAGGUUUUCGGAUCGUAAAGCUCUGUUGUAAGAGAAGAACGGGUGUGAGAGUGGAAAGUUCACACUGUGACGGUAUCUUACCAGAAAGGGACGGCUAACUACGUG
This 505-nucleotide ribosomal RNA is filed under the name uncultured bacterium. RNAcentral's name for it is "partial 16S ribosomal RNA". It matches the Rfam family "Bacterial small subunit ribosomal RNA", at positions 28 to 507 of the family's 1533-position model. The record is from RNAcentral.